GAUGCAGAUCCUGACAUCAUACAUACUAACGUUGGAAUGAUAUAGAGAUGAUUAACAUAGUCUCUGCCCAAAAUUGCGCUGGCAAACUUUGUGAAGUAUUUCAUAUAUUA
RNAcentral lists this small nuclear RNA (110 nucleotides) under Microtus ochrogaster (prairie vole). The record is from RNAcentral. Lineage: Eukaryota; Metazoa; Chordata; Mammalia; Rodentia; Cricetidae.